Molecule: long non-coding RNA, 3388 nt
Filed under: Prunus dulcis (almond)
Lineage: Eukaryota; Viridiplantae; Streptophyta; Magnoliopsida; Rosales; Rosaceae
Description: sRNA ncRNA
Source: RNAcentral
UUUUUAAAUUAAUUUGUGCGCGAAUUUAUAUGUGAGCCAGAUCUAGUCUUGGCUCAGAGCGACGACAACCAUGGCUGACGAGUUCGAAUUCGCGGACAAGGUCCCUUCUUCGUUCGAUCGCAGAGAGGUCCUCUCAUCAUCUUUCUCAUCUCUCUCUCUUCAGUCUCUGUCUAUUUGGUUUUGAUCCUUUCUUCACAUUUAUUACCUUCACAGAAUUGGGAGGGAAUCGAGUCUCCUGGUCUCACAUUUCUCGUCCAAGCUCUCGCUCUUGAUGCUCGCCUUUACUUUUGCUUCUGCACUCUUCAAUUGUUAGUUUCUCUCUCUCUCUCUCUAGGUACACACCUCAGCAGAUUGUGUGUCUUUAGCAUUAUCAGGGACAUUGUUCGCGUGGUCAAAGCCUGCUUUGGUAUUAUUGAUCGCUAAUUGUUUAAUUUGAGGUUUGUUCAGAUUGCUCUAUCAAUCAAUGAUCUUUGUCGAUUUUCAGGUCGUCAGUGAAAUAAACAGAGGACCAAGCUCUGGAAAUAACAUGUGAGUACUUCUUUCUUGCACGCACUGCAUUGGAGUUUCCCUUUUAAUUACAAUUGGCUAAAUUGUUUUAUCAUUGAAUAUUCGUAUGAUUUUUGAAUUUAGUGGAUAUUAUACAAUUGUCUGUGCUUUUUGGUUUGUUGAUUUGUUAUUGUGGCUUCAGCUUGAUCAGAAUUGCACUACAGUUUCUGAUUGUUUAAGUUGAAUUGAUUCAGCCCCAAUGAUGAUUGGAUUUUAGGAAGAAGUCUGUCUGUUUUUGAAGCUAUAUGUUCUUUUGACUUAGUUCUAGUACUUUGAUCAUGGCUUUUGACUUUUUGUUGCCUUACAGUUUUGUUGGAGUUAGUUUCUGUUUGGUGCAGUUUUGCACAAAAUGCAUUGCAGUUUUACACACACUGCAUUGCAGUUUCCAUUUAAUUACAUUUGGCUAAAUUGUUUUAUCAUUGAAUAUCUUAAGAUAGAUAGUUUAUAAGCUCUUUGGUAUCCCUCCCUUACAAACUGGCUUUUGGGACUAAUCUUAUCUAACCAUGAGUGGUGACAUGUGGUAUAAUUGGUGAACCUUAGACUUACAUUGAGAUUGAAUUGCCAAUAUAGGUUUAGGUGGCCUUGUUGUCCAAAUAAUUGCUAGAUAAAUAGAAAUUAUAGACAAAUUGGCAGUCUCAAUUUAACUGUAGAAUGGUACCACUUGCCACUUAUCAAUAUGUGUUGUAUAUUCUUUUGCCUUUUAAUCUUUUGAUAAAUUUAAGUUCAAAACUUUUCUUUGUUCUGGUCUCUUUUCCUUCAUUUCCUUCAUCAUUUCUUUCUUCAUCUCCUCCUUCUGCUUCUGCUUCUUCUUUUUCAUCUCAUUCUCCUUCAUUCUCCUUCAUCUGAUUGUGUAAUUUUGAAGUUUUUUUAUUACAUUGUAAAAUAACACCUUACUUUUCGGACAUUGACCUCAAGUAAAUUAGGUGAAAUUAGCUUCCUAUCUAUCACAAUAAGGAACUCCCUUUUGAUUUUAAACCAAAGCUCCCUUUAUACAUAAUUCACUUUUUUAUUAUAAAAUUAUAUUUUAAAUUAUUCUAAUUUAUAGAGAGGGGUAUUCGAACUUGGAUGAUCAGAAGAAGAUUAUGCACUAAGGCCUCGUUUGGUAUACAUGAUUUUCUUCGCAUGGACUAUACUUAAGGAUUGUCAUGAAUUGGCUUGGCUUGGUCUAAGCUGGAUAAAACUUGUCCUCUAUUUGGUGUAUAUUGGACUAGGACUACAUUUUUUUUUUUAAAAUGUUUAAGUGAUAUAAUAUUUUUCUUAUAGUAUAUGUAGUGAUUUUUAUAAGUGAUUUUAUUUUUAAAUAUAUGUAAUAUUUUUAAAUAUUUCAAUUAAUUUCAUAAAUUACCUCUUAUACUUGGACUAGGACUAGGAUGACGUUGAUUUCUAAAUGACUUCAUUGUUUAGGUAAUAUUCUUAUUGCUAAUAUUUUUAGAUUUUUUUUCUCUAUCCCUCUUAUAUUUUCACGAUUUUAGCAGUGAUCAUUCCUUACUCUCAAUGUCUCAAUCUCACACACACACACACCCCUAUAUGUGUAUGUAUGUAAUUGAUUAAUUGUUGUUGAGUGAGUCCUUGUUCUCCAGAUUAAUUACACACACCCCCCUAUAUAUGUAUGUAAUUUAGGUACUAAUUGUGCUUUAUAUCUCAGAUCUGAUGAUUUGUGUGUGUCUUGGAACUUUCUCUUCAUUGCUGUUUUAUUUUUAGGCUUUCUAUUUUGAAGGGCUUUUACUUUGAUUAUCUGUGUCUCUCCUUUUGGCUGUUUAUGACUUGCUUUAAAUUGUGGGUUAAGAUAGAUUUCCUUUAUUUUUUAUUCUUUUCAGUUAGCUUGGCACAUAAGCUCCAUGUUUUGCGUAUCUCAUAUCAUCUCCAUGUUUGUUGAACAUUAUGUUAAAGUAGCAUUUCAUCGGUAUUACUUGAUGACAAUUGUUAUUUUGCAGCUUUGCCACCUCUGAGUGUGCCGGAAAUUGUUAUUUUUACAGCGUUGACUUGUAUAACUAUUAAUAUAUAGGGUGGUUCACAAGGUUUGGGUCAGAAAUGUUUGCAUGUUUUUUAGUAAUUUUGAUCAAGUUUUCCCCUUUUUGUAUUUUAUGUGCAGCUCUUUUGAACUAUAAGUUGGGGCAGAGUAUUUCUUUUACUUGAUCAAACAAGUCUCUUCCAGGAAUUGCAGAAAGAAGAAGAAGGUAAUGGCUCUAAGCCUAGGAUAUUGUAUUCAAACCCUACGAUAUUGUAUAAUAAAGUCUGGGAUUCUAUAUUGAACUUGGUGUUCUAAUAUAAUUACGUGGCUGAAAAUCUAUUUUUCUGCAUAAAGUACUGACUUGAAUUUUGAAUGGCAUGAUAUUUGUGUUAGUAAUAAUUGUUAAUAGCAGUACAAAGUUCAUUUCAGUUAAGUUGAGUUGUUCUGCCAAUAAAAAUGAGUCCCAGAAAAUUUGCAAUCAACUCAACUUAGCUGAAUUGAGUUCUCAUAGUAUUCAAGUUUCUUCAUCACAUUCAAUUCAGUCCUUAGUUGGCUUUUAGGACGAAGUAAAAGAGAUUUGGAAUCUUGUUUGUUAUGAACUUAUGUUGUUUUCCUGCAGUUUCUUGAAAACAAAUUAACAGGUAAUUUGAUUUUAAUCGCAUAAUUUUUUGUUGGGUGCUUUUUUUUUUAAUGGAGCAGUGGAGGCAUUGAAAGAGAUAAGGAAAAAGCUGAUGAAGAAAGACUGGGAUUUUGGGGAAAGAUACAGGAGAAGGGCAUUGGACUAUAUCGAUUGAAUGAAGGAGGAUGAAAGGCUUCGAGAGCUUUGUCAUAUGUGACUGCACCUUCAACCACCAUUCAGUUAAAGACAAUUUACUUUCAUUAAACUUCUCA